RNAcentral lists this ribosomal RNA (458 nucleotides) under uncultured bacterium. Its description in RNAcentral is "partial 16S ribosomal RNA". It matches the Rfam family "Bacterial small subunit ribosomal RNA", at positions 29 to 507 of the family's 1533-position model. The record is from RNAcentral.
AACGAACGCUGGCGGCAGGCCUAACACAUGCAAGUCGAGCGAGGACUUCGGUUCUAGCGGCGGACGGGUGAGUAACGGGUGGGAAUGUGCCCUUCUCUACGGAAUAGCUCUGGGAAACUGGGAGUAAUACCGAAUACGCGCUAUUGGGGAAAGAUUUAUCGGAGAAGGAUCAGCCCGCGUUGGAUUAGGUAGUUGGUGAGGUAAUGGCCUACCAAGCCGACGAUCCAUAGCUGGUUUGAGAGGAGGAUCAGCCACACGGGGACUGAGACACGGCCCAGACUCCGACGGGAGGCAGCAGUGGGGAAUCUUACGCAAUGGGCGAAAGCGUGAUCGAGCAAAGCCGCGUGAGUGAUGAAGGUGUUCGGCUGGGAAAGCGCUGUUGGCCGGAAAGAAGUGAAGCUGUUUCAGCUGGGAAGAUAAUGACGGUACCAGAAGAAGAAGCCCCGGCUAACUACGUG